This 69-nucleotide transfer RNA is filed under the name Petrobiellus sp. 2 JZ-2014. RNAcentral's name for it is "tRNA-Phe". Lineage: Eukaryota; Metazoa; Arthropoda; Insecta; Archaeognatha; Machilidae. The record is from RNAcentral.
GUUUGUAUAGCUUAAUAUAUUAAAGCAUGGCGUUGAAGGUGCUAAGAUAACAUAUAUAGUUUGUAAACA